Molecule: ribosomal RNA, 506 nt
Filed under: Syllinae sp. MTA-2011
Lineage: Eukaryota; Metazoa; Annelida; Polychaeta; Phyllodocida; Syllidae
Description: partial 16S ribosomal RNA
Rfam family: Bacterial large subunit ribosomal RNA
Source: RNAcentral
AAACAUUGCCUUUAGAACAAAUAUUAAAGGUCAGUCUGCCCAGUGAAUAAUUAAUAACAAUAUAACAUUUAAACGGCCGCGGUAUCCCUGACCGUGCUAAGGUAGCACAAUCAUGAGCCUCCUAAUUAGAGGAUAGAAUGAAUGAAUCAACACGAAACAAGCUGUCUCUCUUGUAAAUUUGGAAAUUUAAAUUUAGGUGAAAAUGCCUACAUCGCUCACAAAGACAGAAAGACCCUAUAAGCUUCUACAAUAAUAUUACACCAAUAAAAAUGUAUUUAACUGGGGCGGUUAUAAGAAUAAAACACUUCUAUCCAUAAGAGAUAUAACUCUUUAUCAAUUAUCUAUUUAGCAUCUAAGAAAGUUACUAUAGGGAUAACAGACUAAUACUUCUUUAGAGCACAUAUCAACAGAAGUGCUUAGUACCUCGAUGUUGGCUUAAGGAUCCCAUUUUAUGCAGACGUAAACAAGGGGGGUUUGUUCAACCUUUAAUUCCUUACAUGAUCUGA